This is a long non-coding RNA of Homo sapiens (human), 225 nucleotides long. RefSeq lists it as uncharacterized. NCBI's taxonomy places the organism in Eukaryota, Metazoa, Chordata, Mammalia, Primates, Hominidae. The transcript has 2 exons. The record is from RefSeq and is a predicted model, not a curated record.
UUCACAUCCUCUGCAGUCAUGGGAUUAUCACUUACAGUGUUCGCCUGUUUGAAAAAUGAGAUUGUUGCUCUUGAGAACCACAGCCAUGUGAGGACAAAAUGAGAAGAAGAUGGCCAUCUGUGAAUGAGAAAGAGGGUCCUCACCAAGAACCCAACCAUGAGGCACCAUGAUCUCAAGCUUCCAGCCUACAGAACUGUGAGAAAUAAAUUUUUGUUGUUUAAGCCA